CCAGCACCUGCGGUAAUUCCAGCUCCAAUAGCGUAUAUUAAAGUUGUUGCAGUUAAAACGCUCGUAGUCUGAUGUAAUGGGGACUGGAGUGGGGAGCAGCGAUGCUCUUUGCUUUGGUCCUCAUCAGGGGGCCAGCAAUGGCCCAGUUUACUUUGAGGAAAUUAGAGUGUUCAAAGCAGGCGAUUGCUUGAAUACUGCAGCAUGGAAUAAUGGAAUAGGACUCGCGUCUUAUUUUGUUGGUUUGGAGAUGUGAGUAAUGAUGAAUAGGGACAGUUGGGGGCAUUAGUAUUUAAUUGUCAGAGGUGAAAUUCUCGGAUUUGUUAAAGACUAACUUAUGCGAAAGCAUUUGC
Molecule: ribosomal RNA, 350 nt
Filed under: uncultured eukaryote
Lineage: Eukaryota
Description: SSU rRNA
Rfam family: Eukaryotic small subunit ribosomal RNA
Source: RNAcentral